RNAcentral lists this ribosomal RNA (492 nucleotides) under uncultured bacterium. Its description in RNAcentral is "partial 16S ribosomal RNA". It matches the Rfam family "Bacterial small subunit ribosomal RNA", at positions 28 to 507 of the family's 1533-position model. The record is from RNAcentral.
GAUGAACGCUAGCUACAGGCUUAACACAUGCAAGUCGAGGGGAAACGACAUCGAAAGCUUGCUUUUGAUGGGCGUCGACCGGCGCACGGGUGAGUAACGCGUAUCCAACCUGCCCAUCACUUGGGAAUAACCUUGCGAAAGUAAGACUAAUACCCAAUGACAUCCCACGAAGACAUCUGAAUGGGAUUAAAGAUUUAUCGGUGAUGGAUGGGGAUGCGUCUGAUUAGCUUGUUGGCGGGGUAACGGCCCACCAAGGCAACGAUCAGUAGGGGUUCUGAGAGGAAGGUCCCCCACAUGGGAACUGAGACACGGUCCAAACUCCUACGGGAGGCAGCAGUGAGGAAUAUUGGGCAAGGGGCGAGAGCCUGAACCAGCCAAGUAGCGUGCAGGAGGACGGCCCUAUGGGUUGUAAACUGCUUUUAUAAGGGAAUAAAGUGGGUCUCGUGAGACUUUUUGCAUGUACCUUAUGAAUAAGGACCGGCUAAUUCCGUG